GGAACCUGGGGCGGGGCGGAAUCCGUCGCUUAACCGAGAGGGGUAGAGGUCGCAAGUUCAAAUCUUGCAGGUUCCU
RNAcentral lists this transfer RNA (76 nucleotides) under Flavonifractor plautii. RNAcentral describes it as "tRNA-OTHER". The record is from RNAcentral. Lineage: Bacteria; Bacillati; Bacillota; Clostridia; Eubacteriales; Oscillospiraceae.